Non-coding RNA from Mycena epipterygia, 85 nucleotides. NCBI's taxonomy places the organism in Eukaryota, Fungi, Basidiomycota, Agaricomycetes, Agaricales, Mycenaceae. The record is from the annotation of a GenBank genome assembly.
GGCCUGGUGGCGGCGUCCGCAUGCUAUUAUAGUUCUGGUUGCCAGGUUUCAGCGGAAGGUCCUGGUUCGAAUCCAGGCUGGGUCA